Molecule: ribosomal RNA, 467 nt
Filed under: uncultured bacterium
Lineage: Bacteria
Description: partial 16S ribosomal RNA
Rfam family: Bacterial small subunit ribosomal RNA
Source: RNAcentral
GACGGACGCUGGCGGCGUGCUUAACACAUGCAAGUCGAACGAUGACGACCGAGAUUGCUCGGUCUGAUUAGUGGCGAACGGGUGAGUAACACGUGAGCAACCUGCCCUUCACUCUGGGAUAACCUCGGGAAAUCGGGGCUAAUACCGGAUAUGAGCUCCUGUCGCAUGGCGGGUGUUGGAAAGUUUUUCGGUGAAGGAUGGGCUCGCGGCCUAUCAGUUUGUUGGUGAGGUAGUGGCUCACCAAGGCGAUGACGGGUAGCCGGCCUGAGAGGGCGACCGGCCACACUGGGACUGAGACACGGCCCAGACUCCUACGGGAGGCAGCAGUGGGGAAUAUUGCACAAUGGGCGAAAGCCUGAUGCAGCGACGCCGCGUGAGGGAUGACGGCCUUCGGGUUGUAAACCUCUUUCAGCAGGGAAGAAGCGAAAGUGACGGUGCCUGCAGAAGAAGCGCCGGCUAACUACGUG